UGUCCUAGUGACCUUAGAAGCUGAAACUCUGAUACACUACCUCACUUCUAGACCUUAUGUCAUACAUGCAACAAAACCGUCCUUUCUCUUUCACUGUAUGGAAUUACUUGCAAUACUUAUUCCAUACCAAUGAGUCAAUCUUGUUCUACUAAUAGAUUCAUAUAUUUCUCAAAAUUCUAAAAAAUUCAUCCAAAAGGAAUUCUCAACUC
This 209-nucleotide long non-coding RNA is filed under the name Lathyrus oleraceus (garden pea). RNAcentral describes it as "Pisum sativum (pea) long non-coding RNA (PSAT_LNC028163)". Lineage: Eukaryota; Viridiplantae; Streptophyta; Magnoliopsida; Fabales; Fabaceae. The record is from RNAcentral.